GUGGGAGAGAGAGAGAAAAGAGAAAAGAACAGGGAUUGAGAUGAGAGGAAGAGAGCGCAGGAGAGCGGGAGAGGAGAGUGCAUGUUCUGUCUUAUGCGCACUUCAGACUGCUCUGGUUUGCUUGACAGUUUUGUGUGUGUGUGUGUGUGUGUGUUGUUGAGUCCUGCGCUCAGCAUACGGCAGGUGGAGAUGACAUGACUGCGCUUGAGAGGAAGAGAGGGAGGGACCUACGCGGUCAACAAGUAUUCCUGAGGCCAGACGAGACCGCAGCUCUAACCCUGACCGACCGACUACAGUGAUGAUGCGUGCGGUUUGCCGGGCGGAGGGCAGCGCUAGGCAGCGGCUGAGGGAGGAGGUAGG
This is a long non-coding RNA of Oncorhynchus keta (chum salmon), 360 nucleotides long. RefSeq lists it as uncharacterized. NCBI's taxonomy places the organism in Eukaryota, Metazoa, Chordata, Actinopteri, Salmoniformes, Salmonidae. The record is from RefSeq and is a predicted model, not a curated record. The transcript has 3 exons.